GGUUGACCUCGGAAUUAGGUA
Molecule: ribosomal RNA, 21 nt
Filed under: Annulohypoxylon urceolatum
Lineage: Eukaryota; Fungi; Ascomycota; Sordariomycetes; Xylariales; Hypoxylaceae
Description: partial 28S ribosomal RNA
Source: RNAcentral